GACGAACGCUGGCGGCGUGCCUAAUACAUGCAAGUAGAACGCUGAAGAGAGGAGCUUACUCUUCUUGGAUGAGUUGCGAACGGGUGAGUAACGCGUAGGUAACCUGCCUUGUAGCGGGGGAUAACUAUUGGAAACGAUAGCUAAUACCGCAUAACAAUGGAUGACACAUGUCAUUUAUUUGAAAGGGGCAAUUGCUCCACUACAAGAUGGACCUGCGUUGUAUUAGCUAGUAGGUGAGGUAAUGGCUCACCUAGGCGACGAUACAUAGCCGACCUGAGAGGGUGCUCGGCCACCCUGGGACUGCGGCCCGGCCCCGCCUCCUACGGGAGGCAGCAGUAGGGAAUCUUCGGCCAUGGGGGCAACCCUGACCGAGCAACGCCGCGUGAGUGAAGAAGGGUUUCGGAUCGUAAAGCUCUGUUGUAAGUCAAGAACGGGUGUGAGAGUGGAAAGUUCACACUGUGACGGUAGCUUACCAGAAAGGGACGGCUAACUACGUG
RNAcentral lists this ribosomal RNA (497 nucleotides) under uncultured bacterium. RNAcentral's name for it is "partial 16S ribosomal RNA". It matches the Rfam family "Bacterial small subunit ribosomal RNA", at positions 28 to 507 of the family's 1533-position model. The record is from RNAcentral.